Molecule: ribosomal RNA, 545 nt
Filed under: uncultured Flavobacterium sp.
Lineage: Bacteria; Pseudomonadati; Bacteroidota; Flavobacteriia; Flavobacteriales; Flavobacteriaceae
Description: bacterial SSU rRNA
Rfam family: Bacterial small subunit ribosomal RNA
Source: RNAcentral
GGGGGGCUACGGGAGGCAGCAGUAGGGAAUAUUGGGCAAUGGACGCAAGUCUGACCCAGCCAUGCCGCGUGCAGGAUGAAGGCCCUAUGGGUUGUAAACUGCUUUUUUACGGGAAGAAACACUCCGACGUGUCGGAGCUUGACGGUACCGUAAGAAUAAGGAUCGGCUAACUCCGUGCCAGCAGCCGCGGUAAUACGGAGGAUCCAAGCGUUGUCCGGAUUCAUUGGGUUUAAAGGGUGCGUAGGCGGGCUAUUAAGUCAGAGGUGAAAUCUUGCGGCUCAACCGUAAAAUUGCCUUUGAAACUGGUAGCCUUGAAUUCGGUCGAGGUGGAUGGAAUGUGUCAUGUAGCGGUGAAAUGCUUAGAUAUGACCCAGAACACCAAUUGCGAAGGCAGUUCACUAGACCGACAUUGACGCUGAGGCACGAAAGCGUGGGUAGCGAACAGGAUUAGAUACCCUGGUAGUCCACGCCCUAAACGAUGAUUACUCGCUGUUGGCGAUAUACAGUCAGCGGCUAAGCGAAAGCGUUAAGUAAUCCACCUGGGG